AGCGAACGCUGGCGGCAGGCUUAACACAUGCAAGUCGAGCGGGCAUCCUUGUGGUGUCCGCGGCAGACGGGUGAGUAACGCGUGGGAACGUGCCCUUCGGUUCGGAAUAACUCAGGGAAACUUGAGCUAAUACCGGAUACGUGCGAGAGCAGAAAGGUUUAUCUGCCGAAGGAUCGGCCCGCGUCUGAUUAGCUAGUUGGUGAGGUUAUGGCUCACCAAGGCGACGAUCAGUAGCUGGUCUGAGAGGAUGAUCAGCCACACUGGGACGGAGACACGGCCCAGACUCCUACGGGAGGCAGCAGUGGGGACUAUGGGACACUGGGGGAAACCCUGAUCCCGCCAUGCCGCGUGAGUGAUGACGGCCUUAGGGUUGUAAAGCUCUUUUCCCCGGGACGAUAAUGCCGGUACCGGAGGAAUAAGCCCCGGCAAACUUCGU
RNAcentral lists this ribosomal RNA (436 nucleotides) under uncultured bacterium. RNAcentral describes it as "partial 16S ribosomal RNA". It matches the Rfam family "Bacterial small subunit ribosomal RNA", at positions 29 to 506 of the family's 1533-position model. The record is from RNAcentral.